RNAcentral lists this ribosomal RNA (454 nucleotides) under uncultured Prevotella sp. RNAcentral describes it as "partial 16S ribosomal RNA". It matches the Rfam family "Bacterial small subunit ribosomal RNA", at positions 341 to 792 of the family's 1533-position model. The record is from RNAcentral. Lineage: Bacteria; Pseudomonadati; Bacteroidota; Bacteroidia; Bacteroidales; Prevotellaceae.
ACGGGAGGCAGCAGUGAGGAAUAUUGGUCAAUGGGCGAGAGUCUGAACCAGCCAAGUAGCGUGCAGGAUGACGGCCCUAUGGGUUGUAAACUGCUUUUGUACGGGAAUAAAGUGACCUACGUGUAGGUUUUUGCAUGUACCGUAAGAAUAAGGACCGGCUAAUUCCGUGCCAGCAGCCGCGGUAAUACGGCAGGUCCGGGCGUUAUCCGGAUUUAUUGGGUUUAAAGGGAGCGUAGGCCGUGCUUUAAGCGUGUUGUGAAAUGUAGGCGCCCAACGGCUGCACUGCAGCGCGAACUGGAGCACUUGAGUACGCAGGAAGUAGGCGGAAUUCGUCGUGUAGCGGUGAAAUGCUUAGAUAUGACGAAGAACACCGAUUGCGUAGGCAGCUUACCAGACCGUAAAUGACGCUCAUGCACGAAAGUGCGGGGAUCGAACAGGAUUAGAUACCCUGGUA